RNAcentral lists this ribosomal RNA (490 nucleotides) under uncultured bacterium. RNAcentral's name for it is "partial 16S ribosomal RNA". It matches the Rfam family "Bacterial small subunit ribosomal RNA", at positions 30 to 507 of the family's 1533-position model. The record is from RNAcentral.
AUUGAACGCUGGCGGCAGGCCAAACACAUGCAAGUCGAACGGUAACAGGAAGAAGCUUGCUUCUUUGCUGACGAGUGGCGGACGGGUGAGUCAUGUCUGGGAAACUGCCUGAUGGAGGGGGAUAACUACUGGAAACGGUAGCUAAUACCGCAUAACGUCGCAAGACCAAAGAGGGGGACCUUCGGGCCUCUUGCCAUCGGAUGUGCCCAGAUGGGAUUAGCUAGUAGGUGGGGUAACGGCCCACCUAGGCGACGAUCCCUAGCUGGUCUGAGAGGAUGACCAGCCACACUGGAACUGAGACACGGUCCAGACUCCUACGGGAGGCAGCAGUGGGGAAUAUUGCACAAUGGGCGCAAGCCUGAUGCAGCCAUGCCGCGUGUAUGAAGAAGGCCUUCGGGUUGUAAAGUACUUUCAGCGGGGAGGAAGGGAGUAAAGUUAAUACCUUUGCUCAUUGACGUUACCCGCAGAAGAAGCACCGGCUAACUCCGUG